Long non-coding RNA from Leptidea sinapis, 1671 nucleotides. RefSeq lists it as uncharacterized. The transcript is spliced from 4 exons. The record is from RefSeq and is a predicted model, not a curated record. NCBI's taxonomy places the organism in Eukaryota, Metazoa, Arthropoda, Insecta, Lepidoptera, Pieridae.
GACGUUAUCGCGAAUAGUCGCACUGUUUACGCUCUGAUCAGUGCAUCGUGAAUACAGGUUUCGGGACAUUGUGCGAGCUAUUCCAAUCGAGCUCUCGAGACUUUGAAAUCCUCGGCACACAAAAGCAAAUCAGAAAAUGUUUCGUCCCAAACUAAAAUUAUCUUGGCUAUAUCCGAGAGCAUAUACGAAACUCCUGAGAAAGAAAUCAACAAAUACAAUUGAAAUUGCUUACACCGUGUACGACAAUGGUGCUGACACUGCCAAGCCACCCCUGAUGAUCCUCCACGCCAUGUUAGGGGCUAGAAUGCAAUGGGACCACCUGGCUAAGGCUAUCCAGGAGACGACUGGAAGGAAGGUGGUUACAGUAGACGCUCGUAACCACGGAGACAGUCCUCGGGCAACGGAGCAUUCUUAUAUCAACAUGGCCGAUGACGCUUUAGAUCUGGUACAGAAGUUGGGGAUGCAGAAGGUGUCGCUUCAUGGUCACAGCAUGGGCGCUAGAACGGCGAUGGCUAUGUCACUAUUGCGGCCAGACCUGGUAUCAAGUGUAUCAAUCAACGACAUGUCACCAAUCAGCACCGGCCUUCAGAUUCCAUUUGUUCUGAGAAUCCUCGACUGUAUGGCCGGUGUGAAGUUUAAACCAGGCAUGAAGACAGCUGACGCCAUUCAACUAGCCGACGAGAGCCUGAAAGCCAUAGUCCCCGAUGAAAAGCUGAGGGAAUACCUCCUAGGAAAUCUGAUCCAGUCAAAAGGCGUCACCACAUGGAAAGUCAGCAUUGAUGCGCUGAGGAGGAAUUUUGUGUCCAAACUAUACUCUUUUCCAUCCAGAUUGAAGGAUCUACAGUUUAAAGGACCCACACUGUUCAUAGGAGGUUCUCUGUCGACACAUAUUCCAAAGGAGGAUCUUCCUCUCAUCAAGGAGUACUUUCCGUCUGCUGAACUGGUGUACAUAGAGGGGGCCAACCAUUGGGUGCAUGUCGACAGACCAGAUCAGUUUCUGGAAACCCUGUGCAAGUUCUUGGAGGAGAACGAGUGAUGAAGGAGACUGAGAGAUAGAUAUAAUCUCAACUAGACCUAUUUGACCUGUCUCCUAACACCCAAAAUCCAGCAUCACACCACAUCAACAUACAUCCUCACUAACAGAAUAUUCUCACCAUAGACUAAGAAUCAAAACGAAAGUGAGGCAACUGACGCUAUGUUUUCCAGGCCAAAUUUUCGGGUAGACAAAAAGUAAAAGUGUUUGAUUUAAAUGAUUAACACUUGCGUUAAACAACGAUAAUACUAAGUGAGUCUAGUAAUAGGAAGCCAAUUUGGUCACAGGAAGACAACAAGCAAGAGGAUCUAAAUCACAAUAAAAGAAAAACAUCUAAAAUACAUAAAAAUGUAACAUAUUAUAAUUUAAACUAUAUAAAUAGUUAUACACAAAUAAAAUUUGAAAAACAAAAUUUUAAGAAUGAUGCAGGACUGAACCCAUGAACUCUGGCGUUCCAUGCCGAUGCUCUGAACCAGAAUGCCGGAGGUCGUGGGUUCACAUCCCACAUCAUUCAUAAAAUAUUGUUUUUCAAAUUUUAUUUGUGUAUUAAUCCUAGAAGUGAAGGUUAUUAGUUAUACAAUAAAAUGUAAUUAAUUAAACUGGCACAUAAAUAUAAUAAUUCUUGUGUUAAAUACAAA